GAAAGGCUAUUAUUUGACAGAAUUGAUUGUCAAUGUUUGAUCAUUGCACCAAGAGUACCAAUUACAGUUAAUUUCUCUGUCCAAAGACUAGGAAUUAAUGUCGUACUAGGUAUCUUGAGAUGGAUCCCAAAACUGGAUUAUUUGUGCGUGUCUUAAUUUUCUUAUUUGACAUGCUUGCUUAUUUUGUUCUCUAUACAGUUUUUGUUGUUAAUGCUGCGAACGUCUCUGCUCAAGUCAGC
Molecule: long non-coding RNA, 239 nt
Filed under: Olea europaea (common olive)
Lineage: Eukaryota; Viridiplantae; Streptophyta; Magnoliopsida; Lamiales; Oleaceae
Description: long non-coding RNA (OEUR_LNC014545)
Source: RNAcentral